ACUCAAAUGAAUUGACGGGGACUCGCACAAGCGGUGGAUUAUGUGGCUUAAUUCGACGGUAAACGAAGAACCUUACCAAGGUUAGAAACCCAACUGCAGUUUCUCUGAAAGGAGAUUCGCCUUCGAGGGUGUUGGGCAGGUGAUGCAUGGUUGUCGUCAGUUCGUGGCUUGAGCUGUUCCCUUCAGUGGGGUAACGAACGCAACCCCCGUUGCCUGUUGCCUAUAUGGUCAGGCGAGACUGCUCCCUCACGGGAGAGGAAGGUGGGGAUGACGCCAAAUCAGCAUGUCCCUCUGAUACCUUGGGCUGCACACAUAAUAAAAUGGUCGGUACAGCGGGAUGCAAUACCGUAAGGUGGAGCAAAUCCCUUAAAACCGUCCUCAGUACGGAUCGAGGUCUGCAACCGACCUCGUGAAGCUGGAAUCGCUAGUAAUCCCGGGUCAGCUAAACCGGGGUGAAUACGUUCUCGAGUCUUGUACACACCGCCCGU
This 488-nucleotide ribosomal RNA is filed under the name uncultured bacterium. Its description in RNAcentral is "partial 16S ribosomal RNA". It matches the Rfam family "Bacterial small subunit ribosomal RNA", at positions 899 to 1397 of the family's 1533-position model. The record is from RNAcentral.